CCGCAUGGUUCAAUCAUAAAAGGUGGCUUUCAGCUACCACUUACAGAUGGACCCGCGGCGCAUUAGCUAGUUGGUGAGGUAACGGCUCACCAAGGCGACGAUGCGUAGCCGACCUGAGAGGGUGAUCGGCCACACUGGGACUGAGACACGGCCCAGACUCCUACGGGAGGCAGCAGUAGGGAAUCUUCCGCAAUGGACGAAAGUCUGACGGAGCAACGCCGCGUGAGUGAUGAAGGUUUUCGGAUCGUAAAACUCUGUUGUUAGGGAAGAACAAGUACCGUUCGAAUAGGGCGGCACCUUGACGGUACCUAACCAGAAAGCCACGGCUAACUACGUGCCAGCAGCCGCGGUAAUACGUAGGUGGCAAGCGUUGUCCGGAAUUAUUGGGCGUAAAGCGCGCGCAGGCGGUUUCUUAAGUCUGAUGUGAAAGCCCCCGGCUCAACCGGGGAGGGUCAUUGGAAACUGGGGAACUUGAGUGCAGAAGAGGAGAGUGGAAUUCCACGUGUAGCGGUGAAAUGCGUAGAGAUGUGGAGGAACACCAGUGGCGAAGGCGACUCUCUGGUCUGUAACU
Molecule: ribosomal RNA, 571 nt
Filed under: uncultured Bacilli bacterium
Lineage: Bacteria; Bacillati; Bacillota; Bacilli
Description: bacterial SSU rRNA
Rfam family: Bacterial small subunit ribosomal RNA
Source: RNAcentral